RNAcentral lists this transfer RNA (66 nucleotides) under bovine gut metagenome. It matches the Rfam family "tRNA". From Rfam's summary of the family: Transfer RNA (tRNA) molecules are approximately 80 nucleotides in length. The record is from RNAcentral.
UGAAUAGCUCAAUCGGCAGAGCAACCGGCUGUUAACCGGUAGGUCGUAGGUUCGAGCCCUACUUCA